This 1430-nucleotide long non-coding RNA is filed under the name Heterocephalus glaber (naked mole-rat). Its description in RNAcentral is "lncRNA (ENSHGLG00000041503.1)". The record is from RNAcentral. Lineage: Eukaryota; Metazoa; Chordata; Mammalia; Rodentia; Bathyergidae.
AGGGCAGGGAGUGGGAAAGUGAAAAGCUACUAAAAUCCAGUCCUGGCCUCUCUUCCCUCCAGCGUAAAAGCCUCCCUGGGGUGCUUGGGCAAUACAACAGGCUCCGACUAGACCAUCCAUUGUCCCACAGCCCUUUUGAUCUUUUCCCCCCUCAGAGGCCAAGGCACCGUGAGCUACCUUGCAAUUAUUUCCCAAGUACUUUAACUGUGUUCCUUGGAUCCUCUCUAAAACACAAGAUCCCUAAAGGCAGCGACACACUUCACACCCCCAAGGAGCACAGGCGAUGUCGGGGUGAUUCCAGGCUGCUCUGUACUUUCUUGCUGAAUGAGUGGACGGGCUAGAGAAGAAACGGCAGAAGAGAAAGACAACCAGGUGCCCUGUCACUGCCUAUCACUGCCUGCCCUGCAGACUUCCAGCCCUUAGGAAGCUCACUCCUGAAACAAGUCCCUACAAGAGGAGGACUCCAGACACUUAUUCUCCUAGCAUCCCACAGAUGCUGCUUGUCAGAGAUGAAGGCAGGACACAGGCAUUUGGUUGCAGCUCUUAAGGUUGUGCUCCCUUGCACCCGUGACUCUCUUUUCCCAAACCUGACACCUACUCACGGCCCAGGUAAAUAGGAAAUAGUUAAUAGGAAAACAGUCUUUUUAAAAGUUAAUGAAGCCAGGCGCAUGCCUGUAAUCCCAGCACUCGGGAGGCUGAGGCAGGAGGACUGCCAUGAGUUUGAGGACAGCCUGGGGUACAUAGUGAGUUCAAGGCCAGCCUGAGCUACAUAGUGAGACCCUGUCUCACAAAAGCAAAAAAAAAACAGCCGGGGUUUUAGCUCAGUGGUUCUGCUGCCUGCCUUGCAAGCACAAGGUCCGGAGUUCGAACCCCGGUACCAAAAAAAAAAAAGAAAAAAAAAGAAAAGUAAAAAUUAUUAACUUGUUAGCUGGGCAUGGUGAUACACACCUGUAAUCUUGGCAUUCAGGAAGACUGAGGCAGAAGAAUCACAAAUUCGAGCCCAGCCUGGGCAACUUAGCGACUUAGUGAGACCAUGUCUCAAAAUAAACAAUAAAAAAGGGCAAAAAAAAAAGGGUGUGGGGGUGGGGAUGAAGCUCAGUGUGAAGGUCUACAGUGAAUCUCCAGUAUCAUCACACACAAAAAAGUUGCUUUUUCAUAGCAUCAUCAGGUAUCUUGUGUGUCUUCCAGGCCUCUAUCAUACAAAGCAAUUCUAAGAGGGGUAAAAUCUAGAAAUGGCAGAGUGCAGGAGAAGAAAUGGAAAGAACUGGGUUUGACUCUGGAUCCUGCCGAGGCAUUAGAAAGAGGUCAACCUGCCUGUGUUAAAUAGCCUGAUUUAGCCAUUCCAUUAGAUAUACGCAUAUUAUGUGGUACAAGCUUAAUAUAUACAAUUUUACCAGUCAAUUAAAAAUAUCAAUAAAUCAAUAAAUGGC